GACGAACGCUGGCGGCGUGCCUAAUACAUGCAAGUAGAACGCUGAAGGAGGAGCUUGCUCUUCUGGAUGAGUUGCGAACGGGUGAGUAACGCGUAGGUAACCUGCCUGGUAGCGGGGGAUAACUAUUGGAAACGAUAGCUAAUACCGCAUAACAGUAGAUGUUGCAUGACAUUUACUUAAAAGGUGCAAUUGCAUCACUACCAGAUGGACCUGCGUUGUAUUAGCUAGUUGGUGGGGUAACGGCUCACCAAGGCGACGAUACAUAGCCGACCUGAGAGGGUGAUCGGCCACACUGGGACUGAGACACGGCCCAGACUCCUACGGGAGGCAGCAGUAGGGAAUCUUCGGCAAUGGACGGAAGUCUGACCGAGCAACGCCGCGGGAGUGAAGAAGGGUUUCGGAUCGUAAAGCUCUGUUGUAAGAGAAGAACGAGUGUGAGAGUGGAAAGUUCACACUGUGACGGUAGCUUACCAGAAAGGGACGGCUAACUACGUG
This 495-nucleotide ribosomal RNA is filed under the name uncultured bacterium. RNAcentral describes it as "partial 16S ribosomal RNA". It matches the Rfam family "Bacterial small subunit ribosomal RNA", at positions 28 to 507 of the family's 1533-position model. The record is from RNAcentral.